This 68-nucleotide transfer RNA is filed under the name Ictidomys tridecemlineatus (thirteen-lined ground squirrel). RNAcentral's name for it is "Spermophilus tridecemlineatus (thirteen-lined ground squirrel) tRNA". It matches the Rfam family "tRNA". Rfam says of the family: Transfer RNA (tRNA) molecules are approximately 80 nucleotides in length. Their secondary structure includes four short double-helical elements and three loops (D, anti-codon, and T loops). Lineage: Eukaryota; Metazoa; Chordata; Mammalia; Rodentia; Sciuridae. The record is from Rfam by way of RNAcentral.
GGGAUUGUGGCUCAGUGGUAGAGUGCUCCCUUAGCACGGGCGGGGUCUGGGUUCGAUCCUCAGCACCA